RNAcentral lists this transfer RNA (82 nucleotides) under Synechococcus sp. CC9902. RNAcentral's name for it is "tRNA-Leu". Lineage: Bacteria; Bacillati; Cyanobacteriota; Cyanophyceae; Synechococcales; Synechococcaceae. The record is from RNAcentral.
UGUGUCACCAACGGGGCGAUUGCUGGAACGAUGCCCCAUGCGCUCGAUACCACCGAUGCUGAUCAACAAGCUGCCAACCGCG